RNAcentral lists this ribosomal RNA (469 nucleotides) under uncultured bacterium. RNAcentral describes it as "SSU rRNA". It matches the Rfam family "Bacterial small subunit ribosomal RNA", at positions 26 to 518 of the family's 1533-position model. The record is from RNAcentral.
AGGACGAACGCUGGCGGCGCGCCUAACACAUGCAAGUCGAGCGAGAACCAGGGCUUGCCCUGGGGAAAGCGGCGAACGGGUGCGUAACACGUGAGCAACCUGCCCCAAAGACCGGGACAACCCGAGGAAACUCGGACUAAUACCGGAUGCCCUCACCGGGCCGCAUGGUCUGGUGAGGAAAUGGAUUCCGCUUUGGGAUGGGCUCGCGGUCUAUCAGCUUGUUGGUGGGGUAACGGCCUACCAAGGCGACGACGGAUAGCUGGUCUGAGAGGACGAUCAGCCACACUGGGACUGAGACACGGCCCAGACUCCUACGGGAGGCAGCAGUGGGGAAUCUUGCGCAAUGGGGGAAACCCUGACGCAGCGACGCCGCGUGCGGGAUGAAGGCCUUCGGUGUAACCGCUUUCAGCAGGGACGAAAUUGACGGUACCUGCAGAAGAAGGCCGGCCAACUACGCGCCAGCAGCCGC